This 848-nucleotide ribosomal RNA is filed under the name Oxydothis sp. IFO 32218. RNAcentral describes it as "eukaryotic LSU rRNA". It matches the Rfam family "Eukaryotic large subunit ribosomal RNA", at positions 74 to 949 of the family's 3401-position model. The record is from RNAcentral. Lineage: Eukaryota; Fungi; Ascomycota; Sordariomycetes; Amphisphaeriales; Oxydothidaceae.
AUUGCCUCAGUAACGGCGAGUGAAGCGGCAACAGCUCAAAUUUGAAAUCUGGCCCUCGGGUCCGAGUUGUAAUUUGUAGAGGAUGCUUUUGGCGCGGUGCCUUCCGAGUUCCCUGGAACGGGACGCCUUAGAGGGUGAGAGCCCCGUACGGUUGGACACCAAGCCUCUGUAAAGCUCCUUCGACGAGUCGAGUAGUUUGGGAAUGCUGCUCAAAAUGGGAGGUAUAUUUCUUCUAAAGCUAAAUACCGGCCAGAGACCGAUAGCGCACAAGUAGAGUGAUCGAAAGAUGAAAAGCACUUUGAAAAGAGGGUUAAACAGCACGUGAAAUUGUUGAAAGGGAAGCGCUUAUGACCAGACUUUUUCCGGGCGGAUCAUCCGGCGUUCUCGCCGGUGCACUUCGCCCGGUUUAGGCCAGCAUCAGUUUCCGCGGGGGGAUAAAAGCUUCGGGAAUGUGGCUCCUCCGGGAGUGUUAUAGCCCGUUGCAUAAUACCCUCGCGGGGACCGAGGUUCGCGCUUCUGCAAGGAUGCUGGCGUAAUGGUCAUCAGCGACCCGUCUUGAAACACGGACCAAGGAGUCAAGCAUUUGUGCGAGUGUUUGGGUGUUAAACCCUCACGCGUAAUGAAAGUGAACGUAGGUCAGAGCUUCUCGGGGUGCAUCAUCGACCGAUCCUGAUGUUCUCGGAUGGAUUUGAGUAAGAGCAUAACUGUUCGGACCCGAAAGAUGGUGAACUAUGCUUGGAUAGGGUGAAGCCAGAGGAAACUCUGGUGGAGGCUCGCAGCGGUUCUGACGUGCAAAUCGAUCGUCAAAUCUGCGCAUGGGGGCGAAAGACUAAUCGAACCAUCUAGUA